RNAcentral lists this transfer RNA (773 nucleotides) under uncultured Synechococcus sp. RNAcentral's name for it is "16S-23S ribosomal RNA intergenic spacer". The stretch from base 267 to 339 matches the Rfam family "tRNA". Lineage: Bacteria; Bacillati; Cyanobacteriota; Cyanophyceae; Synechococcales; Synechococcaceae. The record is from RNAcentral.
AGGGAGACAACACAACGAUUUUGAUGCCUGAGUACUUUUAUUCUUAGGCCGAAAUCCUGUCACCUUAGGUCGAUCGGUACCUCAGCUUUGAAGUUGAGGAUCAGCAGCAAUGUUGAUUGCUUGAUGGAGAUUUUCAGUUCCUAAACUUUGUCUAGGUCACACCCCAAAAGGGAUGAGACUCCUGGGCCAUUAGCUCAGGUGGUUAGAGCGCACCCCUGAUAAGGGUGAGGUCCCUGGUUCAAGUCCAGGAUGGCCCAUUCGGUGUUGGGGGUUUAGCUCAGUUGGUAGAGCGCCUGCUUUGCAAGCAGGAUGUCAGGAGUUCGAGUCUCCUAACCUCCACUGACCGAACUUGAUUCCCAUCUCCAAUUUUUUGGAGUUGAGCUCGAUUGGAGUGUGAUUUAGAUGAGUCCGCUGGAUGACCCCAGCUUCCUGUCAUUCCAAGUUUUAGGUUAAAGCCUUGAAUUUGGUUGAUAAGAUGCUGGGCUCGGAUCAAAUGAUCAAGCAAUUGAUGAUUUGAUUUGAAGUUCUAGCAGAACCUUGACAACUGCAUAGGUGAGUCUGGAAAAAACAAAGCAUCUUACAGAUGCAUUGUUUUGAAUCUGAUCUUCUGAAAGGGAGAUUGGAUCUAGAACAAUGAAAAUUCUUUUGAGCAAGAGCCGAGACUCUUGAACGUUCUUUGAUUGGUGUCGAGCCAAUCGGAGUUUGAUCUUGUUUUUAGCAAUAAAAACUUGAGAAUCUGCUUUCAACGGCGGUAAGCGUUCAGGAGGUUAAUU